CCUACGAGAGGCAGCAGUAGGGAAUCUUCCACAAUGGGCGAAAGUCUGAUGGAGCAACGCCGCGUGGGUGAUGAAGGCCUUCGGAUCGUAAAACCCUGUUGUUAGAGAAGAAAGUGCGUGAGAGUAACUGUUCACGUUUCGACGGUAUCUAACCAGAACGCCACGGCUAACUACGUGCCCGCAGCCGCUGUAAUACGUAGGUGGCAAGCGGUAUCCGGAUUUAUUGGGCGUAAAGGGAACGCAGGCGGUCUUUUAAGUCUGAUGUGAAAGCCUUCGGCUUAACCGGAGUAGUGCAUUGGAAACUGGGAGACUUGAGUGCAGAAGAGGAGAGUGGAACUCCAUGUGUAGCGGUGAAAUGCGUAGAUAUAUGGAAGAACACCAGUGGCGAAGGCAGCUCUCUGGUCUGUAACUGACGCUGAGGUUCGAAAGCGUGGGUAGCAAACAGGAUUAGAUACCCUUGUAGUC
RNAcentral lists this ribosomal RNA (465 nucleotides) under uncultured bacterium. RNAcentral's name for it is "partial 16S ribosomal RNA". It matches the Rfam family "Bacterial small subunit ribosomal RNA", at positions 338 to 795 of the family's 1533-position model. The record is from RNAcentral.